RNAcentral lists this ribosomal RNA (119 nucleotides) under Nippostrongylus brasiliensis. The record is from RNAcentral. Lineage: Eukaryota; Metazoa; Nematoda; Chromadorea; Rhabditida; Heligmosomidae.
GCUUACGGCCAUACCACCUUAAAAGCACGCCAUCCCGUCCGAUCUGGCAAGUUAAGCAACGUUGCGCCUGGUUAAAACUUGGAUAGGAGACGGGUUGGGAAUCCCAGGUGUCGUAAGCU